Molecule: non-coding RNA, 112 nt
Organism: Acanthosepion pharaonis
Lineage: Eukaryota; Metazoa; Mollusca; Cephalopoda; Sepiida; Sepiidae
Source: the annotation of a GenBank genome assembly
ACAGCCGUAUCAUGUUGAAACACCGGUUCUCAUAUGAUCACCAAAGUUAAGCAACAUUAAGCCUUGUCAGUAUCUAUAUGGGUGACUGACUAGAAAUACCUGGUGUUGUAAG